GAUGAAGAACGUAGCGAAAUGCGAUAAGUAAUGCGAAUUGCAGAAUUCAGUGAAUCAUCGAAUCUUUGAACGCACAUUGCGCCCGCCAGUAUUCUGGCGGGCAUGCCUGUCUGAGCGUCGUUUCGACCCUCGCGCCCGGCUUCUGUCGGGGGCGGUGUUGGGGAUCGGCCACACCCUUCAGUGGGAGGCCGGCCCCUAAAUUCAGUGGCGACCACGCUGUAGCCUCCCCUGCGUAGUACUAAAACCACCUCGCAGGCGGAGAGCGGUGCGGCCCGCCGUAAAACCCCCCAACUUUUACAAGGUCGACCUCAGAUCAGGUAGGAAUACCCGCUGAACUUAAGCAUAUCAAUAAGGAGGA
Molecule: unclassified non-coding RNA, 358 nt
Filed under: soil metagenome
Description: partial contains 5.8S ribosomal RNA, internal transcribed spacer 2, and large subunit ribosomal RNA
Rfam family: 5.8S ribosomal RNA (bases 1-120)
Source: RNAcentral